AUUGAACGCUGGCGGCAGGCCUAACACAUGCAAGUCGAGCGGAGCGGCGGACGGGUGAGUAAUACCUAGGAGUCUGCCUGGUAGUGGGGGAUCACGUUCGGAAACGGACGCUAAUACCGUAUACUAUCAGAUGAGCCUAGGUCGGCUUAGCUAGUGGGUGAGGUAAUGGCUCACCAAGGUUACGAUCCGUAACUUGUCUGAGAGGAUGAUCAGUCACACUGGAACUGAGACACGGGCCAGAGUCCUACGGGAUGCAGCAGUGGGGAAUAGUGGACAAUGGGCGAAAGCCUGAUCCAGCCAUGCCGCGUGUGUGAAGAAGGUCUGCGGAUUGUAAAGCACUUUAAGUUGGGAGGCGUUACCGACAGAAUAAGCACCGGCUAACUCGGUGCCAGCAGCCGCGGUAAUAC
RNAcentral lists this ribosomal RNA (407 nucleotides) under uncultured bacterium. RNAcentral's name for it is "partial 16S ribosomal RNA". It matches the Rfam family "Bacterial small subunit ribosomal RNA", at positions 30 to 526 of the family's 1533-position model. The record is from RNAcentral.